UGUCCCGAGAUGAGUUCUCCCUGAGACUUAGAGUCUCCUGAAGGAACGUUGAAGACGACGACGUUGAUAGGCCGGGUGUGUAAGCGCAGCGAUGCGUUGAGCUAACCGGUACUAAUGAACCGUGAGGCUUAACCUUACAACGCCGAAGCUGUU
This 153-nucleotide ribosomal RNA is filed under the name Escherichia coli. Its description in RNAcentral is "partial 23S ribosomal RNA". The stretch from base 1 to 136 matches the Rfam family "Bacterial large subunit ribosomal RNA", at positions 2795 to 2925 of the family's 2925-position model. Lineage: Bacteria; Pseudomonadati; Pseudomonadota; Gammaproteobacteria; Enterobacterales; Enterobacteriaceae. The record is from RNAcentral.